UCGAUGCAACGCGAAGAACCUUACCUGGACUUGACAUGUCCGGAAUUCUGCAGAGAUGCGGGAGUGCCCUUCGGGGAAUCGGAACACAGGUGCUGCAUGGCUGUCGUCAGCUCGUGUCGUGAGAUGUUGGGUUAAGUCCCGCAACGAGCGCAACCCUUGUCCUUAGUUGCCAGCGGUUCGGCCGGGCACUCUAGGGAGACUGCCGGUGACAAACCGGAGGAAGGUGGGGAUGACGUCAAGUCCUCAUGGCCUUUAUGUCCAGGGCUACACACGUGCUACAAUGGCCGAUACAAACCGCUGCAAGCCCGCGAGGGGGAGCUAAUCGGAAAAAGUCGGCCUCAGUUCAGAUUGCAGUCUGCAACUCGACUGCAUGAAGCUGGAAUCGCUAGUAAUCGCGGAUCAGAACGCCGCGGUGAAUACGUUCCCGGGCCUUGUACACACCGCCCGUCAAAUCACGAAAGUGGGUUGCACUAGAAGUCGGUGCGCUGACCGCAAGGAAGCAGCCGCCCAAGGUGUGAUUCAUGAUUGGGGUUAAGUCGUAACAAGGUAACCGUA
This 555-nucleotide ribosomal RNA is filed under the name uncultured bacterium. RNAcentral describes it as "bacterial SSU rRNA". It matches the Rfam family "Bacterial small subunit ribosomal RNA", at positions 951 to 1504 of the family's 1533-position model. The record is from RNAcentral.